CGCGUAGGCGGGCGAGCAAGUCUAGGGUGAAAUCUUUCGGCUUAACCGGAAAUAGCCUUGGAUACUGCUGGUCUCGAGGGAGGUAGGGGUCGUUGGAACUUCCGGUGGAGCGGUGAAAUGCGUUGAUAUCGGAAGGAACGCCGGUGGCGAAAGCGAACGACUGGACCUUUUCUGACGCUGAGGCGCGAAAGCCAGGGGAGCAAACG
This 206-nucleotide ribosomal RNA is filed under the name uncultured bacterium. Its description in RNAcentral is "partial 16S ribosomal RNA". It matches the Rfam family "Bacterial small subunit ribosomal RNA", at positions 568 to 774 of the family's 1533-position model. The record is from RNAcentral.